Molecule: small RNA, 90 nt
Filed under: Pseudomonas sp. 43mfcvi1.1
Lineage: Bacteria; Pseudomonadati; Pseudomonadota; Gammaproteobacteria; Pseudomonadales; Pseudomonadaceae
Source: RNAcentral
UGUGGGAGCGAGCCUGCUCGCGAUGAGGCCGCAACAUUCAAUAUCUUCAUUGGCUAACAGACCGCUAUCGCGAGCAGGCUCGCUCCCACA